UCGAACGUGAAAGCACUUCGGUGUGAGUAGAGUGGCGGACGGGUGAGUAACGCGUGGGAAUCUGCCCAGUAGUGGGGGACAACUACCGGAAACGGUAGCUAAUACCGCAUACGCCCUAUGGGGGAAAGGCUUCGGCCGCUAUUGGAUGAGCCCGCGUCAGAUUAGCUAGUUGGUAGGGUAAAGGCCUACCAAGGCAACGAUCUGUAGCUGGUCUGAGAGGACGAACAGCCACACUGGGACUGAGACACGGCCCAGACUCCUACGGGAGGCAGCAGUGGGGAAUAUUGGACAAUGGGCGAAAGCCUGAUCCAGCAAUGCCGCGUGUGUGAAGAAGGCCUGCGGGUUGUAAAGCACUUUCAGUUGGGAAGAUGAUGACGUUACCAACAGAAGAAGCACCGGCUAAAUCCGUGCCAGCAGCCGCGGUAAUACGGAUGGUGCGAGCGUUAAUCGGAAUUACUGGGCGUAAAGCGCGCGUAGGCGGCUAAGUCAGUCAGAAGUGAAAGCCCCGGGCUCAACCUGGGAAUUGCUUUUGAUACUGCUUGGCUAGAGUUUGGUAGAGGAUAGUGGAAUUCCAGGUGUAGCGGUGAAAUGCGUAGAUAUCUGGAGGAACAUCAGUGGCGAAGGCGACUGUCUGGACCAAAACUGACGCUGAGGUGCGAAAGCGUGGGUAGCAAACAGGAUUAGAUACCCUGGUAGUCCACGCCGUAAACGAUGUCAACUAGCCGUCGGGUCUAUUUACAGACUUGGUGGCGCAGCUAACGCGAUAAGUUGACCGCCUGGGGAGUACGG
This 789-nucleotide ribosomal RNA is filed under the name uncultured Gammaproteobacteria bacterium. Its description in RNAcentral is "bacterial SSU rRNA". It matches the Rfam family "Bacterial small subunit ribosomal RNA", at positions 62 to 885 of the family's 1533-position model. The record is from RNAcentral. Lineage: Bacteria; Pseudomonadati; Pseudomonadota; Gammaproteobacteria.